Molecule: long non-coding RNA, 791 nt
Organism: Equus caballus (horse)
Lineage: Eukaryota; Metazoa; Chordata; Mammalia; Perissodactyla; Equidae
Source: RefSeq, a predicted model, not a curated record
GACCAACAUGAGAAGAUCAAGAGACUGUGAGGCUAGGAUGCUUAACAACAGAGUCAUUCAGGAUUGGAAGGCAUGGGGUCUUGCAUCCUGGCCAAUUCUGGGCGAGACUGCUGCUGAGUAUAUUGCAUUGCCUUCCUACUUGAUGUUUAAUUUCAUCAAUGUCAAAUGAUGUUUUUGGUGUGGCAUCAAAUGAAUGGCUGUGUGACAGGAUAUGAACACCAUGCAAGAUAAAACAUGGGUUCUGCUUUUAGUUUCUGGUAUUGAAACAAUGAAUUCUUCCCCGAUGAAAGAUUCAGUGGCGCACAGCUCGUGUUGUUCAAGCCAUUUAUGAGGAUUUGAGGCCAAGCCUGUUUUACAGACACGGGUUUUUAGGCAAAAUCCAUGUCAGUGAUCAAGACUGCAGUCAUUGCUUUCAAGCUUUCACAAUUAACUGGGCUGUAACCAUUACUGAAAAUGAAGAGUAGAGUGACCAAUUCAGCAGGACAAGGGGGAGAGUGCUGGAGAGAGCAAAUAAGGAGAGACAAAAGGGAAGCUUCUAUUCUGGCACGUUUUCUUGGAUUCCCAUGGAAAGUAUUUCUAUGCUAUUUCAGGAUACUCAGAUCUCUGGAUCAUAAAUUGCUCAGACACAGUAACAAUUUAAAAUGAAACCUGAGUCUUUGCCUUUUCCAUGCUUUCUCCUCCUGUACACAUUUCUGUUUAUUUUUUUUUGGUUUAUUUCAGUUUUAUAAUUAUGUGGCAUCAUUUAUGCCCCUCUAAUGCCAGUUAACUUUCUCUAGAAAGGUAACUCUUGU